RNAcentral lists this long non-coding RNA (313 nucleotides) under Marmota marmota marmota (Alpine marmot). RNAcentral's name for it is "lncRNA (ENSMMMG00000016100.1)". Lineage: Eukaryota; Metazoa; Chordata; Mammalia; Rodentia; Sciuridae. The record is from RNAcentral.
GUUUUCCAAAGAAACUAGACCAAAAUAUACCUUGGUGAAAAGAAACCAACCUGCUGUUUCCAUAGGGUGUCUCUCACCCCUCUGUGAACACAAGGAAGACCACGUGGGAGCUUGGAGACCUCCAGCUUCCCUGGGGAGGCUCCAUGCUGGAGAACAGGCCAAGGCUCCCUGGGAACAGUGCGCAGUGAAUGUUAAUCCGGAACUGCUGUUGGCCGAGUGUACCCAGGGGGAGAUGAUUCCUCAUGAAGAGCCUGGAUCCCCUACAGAAAUCAAAUGUGACUUUCCGUUUAUCAGACUAAAAUCAGAGCCAGCC